This 2510-nucleotide long non-coding RNA is filed under the name Gallus gallus (chicken). RNAcentral's name for it is "lncRNA (ENSGALG00010003391.1)". The record is from RNAcentral. Lineage: Eukaryota; Metazoa; Chordata; Aves; Galliformes; Phasianidae.
GGAGCGGCGGUUGGCGACCCCUCGGUUUAGGGAUGGGGCGGGGGUUGGUCAAGGGGGAGGGUGGCGUGGGGGUGGCGAGAUGGCAGCCGCGGUUGCGAGCCGGGGAGGGGGAAGAAAAAGGCGGGAGAUGGCGGCGGAGGGCGCUCCCUCAGGCGGCUCCCGCCCGCACCGAAUCUGCAGAAACGAGAUCUAAUGGGAACAAUACGACGGUAUCGGUGAUUUCAUGGCAUUCUGCAGCUUAAGGAACAAAAAGUUUUACAAGAAAUAAAAAAAAGUUUACAAGUAAUCGCUAUUACAUAAGCUAAUGUAUCACAAUCACUAUUUCUGUAAGUUGCAAUAACAUUUUUCUUCUUUGCAAGCUUUCGUUGCCCAUGUUUUAAACACUGCAAUUCCACAGAUCCGGAGCAAAGCAAAAACGUUCCCUGGAGAUGUGUAUCAAACGAGGCAUAGAUGUCUGCAGGUCUGCAGUAAUUUCAUUUUUGUCAGCUGGUGUUGAUUUGACUCUGCCAAUCCCUGAGAAAGUCUCUCGUGGAUUAAAACAGAAAUUAGCCGAAGUAUGGGGCUCUGCAGAUUCCUCUUAAAUAUAUUUGAUCCAGCCCUGCAUGUUACAGGGGACUGCAUAGUCCUGAUUCCCCAAAUGCAAGGAAUUGGGUGUGCAAGUUGCUGUUUCACCAAGAACUGUGCUCUUUCUUUUGAGCUCGGUGCUUCCUUGCUGCCUUUUCUGGUCUCUCUACUAAUUUUUUUCAGGCAUGAAGCUGUCACAGGACAGCCAGGAAAAUUCCCAUAUUUUAUGAUCUCUGAUGUUUCACCUUUGUUUUCAGCAAUAGCAGUCGUUUCACUUAUUAUAUACAGAAGCUCACUGUCUUAGACUUCAGUGCGACAAGGAAAUAACCAAUGCCCUUUGUUUAGCUGAAGCAAUUACAUUAUCUUUCCAUUGUGGAAUAGUCAGAAGAAAGUAAUGGUGAUGUUGUCACCUAAGUAUACCUUCAAGUAUUUGCUCAUACGUGCCAGGAGCCUAGCUCAAUUAUGCCCUGAUAUACACAUGAACAACUUACCAGGUUUACAGGGGGAAAAAUAGAGCAGAUCUUUUGCUGGCAUUAAUUUUGCUAUUUAAGACCUACCAUUCUAGACUAGUACUGGAAGGUGGGUGGAGCAUUGUCUUUUUAAUUAAACUUGCUACAGGAAAAAAGAAACAGAAUAAUCUUACCCUAUUCUUUUUUAUGUGGUUGGGAAUUUUAUGGAUCAGCACUGGACUUCAUCUGAAGAGCUGGAAAGGCUAAAUUAAUUAUUUCAGAGAACAAUAUCAAAUCUUUCUUAGACUUCAAUGUAAAUGACAAUAAUUAGAUAUAAAUGGUUUUCACAGUUGCUCAUUAAGUUAGGUGGAGAUGGGAAAGCUGGCAAAAAUAGUGUGAACAAAUUCAAAAAAGGAAUAUGGAUGGAAAAGAAAAGGUUCACCUUGGAAAUCUUGGUAUAGCCACAGGAAAACAUUCAGCAAAAGGAAGAAAUCUGCAGUAUUGACCUGUAGGAGUGAAAGCAGACAGUAAAUUAUAUGUGGUCUUACAGAGCAGACAUAUCAGAAAGCCCACAGAUGCCCCUCCAAGUGAAGUGAAUCACUGAGGAAGAAACUAACAGAUUUUUCUCUUCCGUUCCUUUGGCAUGACUACUCUUUGCCUACUACUUAACUAAGUCAUGCCUGGGAUAUUUUGGGAAAUCUUCCUAUUAGAAAAUUACACUCAAGGGGAAUUUAAAGAAGAGCAAUUAAAAUAAUUAAAGAGAUUGAGGGAUUGAUUUACGAGGGAUGAUCAAAAGAGCUGGAAUAUUAAAACAUGUUUCACCAAUACUGUGGAUUUUGGAUGACAUCAUAGUGUUAAGAUUAGCACAGGCUAUAUGAAAAGAGAUUAUUCAGUAUAGGAUUACAUGCAUAUUUUGAAGCCAGUAGAGAUUGCUAAAGUGGAUGCAACAGGUAAAAAAAGAUUCACGUUUUUGCACCAGUAUUUGCCAGUUAUAGAGUGCCUUGUUCUGAAAUGCAGUGACAGAGGUCCUACUCUCCACGAGGAGAUUUGACAGAUUAGGUAAGACAUACAGGCUGGAGGGGACAAUCUCACCCAGAGGGUGGUGACACACUGGAACAGGCUGCCCAAGGAGGCUGUGGAUGCCCCAUCCCUGGAGGCAUUCAAGGCCAGGCUGGAUGUGGCUCUGGGCAGCCUGGUCUGGUGGUUGGCGACCCUGCACAUAGCAGGGGGGUUGAAACUCGAUGAUCAUUGUGGUCCUUCUCAACCCAGGCCAUUCUAUGAUUCUAUGAAAAAGUCAGGAUAAAGGCCUGUAAUUGUAUGCAACAACCUGCAGUAGAAGUACAUUUUAGCCUGCAUCACCUUUUUUUUCCAUACGCAUCCAUAGCCAGCUGAAAUACCAAACAUAACAGUAUUUUUAAUCACAGUAUUUUAACCGCAGUUCAUCUUCUCUGACUGCAUCCAUCUAUAUUAACUGAUCUGUAAAUAUUUCACCUACAG